Molecule: ribosomal RNA, 421 nt
Filed under: uncultured bacterium
Lineage: Bacteria
Description: bacterial SSU rRNA
Rfam family: Bacterial small subunit ribosomal RNA
Source: RNAcentral
UAGGGAAUAUUGGACAAUGGGGGGAACCCUGAUCCAGCCAUGCCGCGUGGAGGAAGACUGCCCUCUGGGUUGUAAACUCCUUUUAUAUGGGAAGAACCGUCCUCAUUGAUGAGUGACCUGACGGUACCAUAGGAAUAAGCACCGGCUAACUCCGUGCCAGCAGCCGCGGUAAUACGGAGGGUGCAAGCGUUAUCCGGAUUCACUGGGUUUAAAGGGUGCGUAGGCGGAUAUGUAAGUCAGUGGUGAAAUCAACGGGCUCAACCUGUUAACUGCCAUUGAUACUGUGUAUCUUGAAUAUGAGAGAGGUAGGCGGAAUGUUGCAUGUAGCGGUGAAAUGCUUAGAUAUGCUACGGAACACCGAUUGCGAAGGCAGCUUACUAUUUCGUAAUUGACGCUGAGUCACGAAAGCGUGGGUAGCGAA